Molecule: long non-coding RNA, 1459 nt
Organism: Poecilia latipinna (sailfin molly)
Lineage: Eukaryota; Metazoa; Chordata; Actinopteri; Cyprinodontiformes; Poeciliidae
Exons: 3
Source: RefSeq, a predicted model, not a curated record
UCAUGACAGGUGUUAUGUAAUGUUUAUGAAGGUGUCAUGACGGUCUUAUUCAACCCCCUUCAAAUAAAGUGUUACCGAUUUUUUUUAUUUUACCAGAUAAUAGAAUUAAGACAUAUCAGUUUCCAUAUAAAUUAGAAUUAAUUUUUACACAUAAAAUAACAAUGGUUGAAGUCAGACGUUUGUAAGAGAAGCAAAGUUUCAGUUUAGUAUCCUUUACAAAACCAGUUUGGAUUCUUUAAACCAACCAGUUCAAAUGGACUCGAUCAGCGUUGCCAGGGCAACGGAUCAGAUGUGAAAUAAAUGAUCCCAUAAUCUUGUUGAUCGAAACGUCAAGCUGCAGUUUUGGAGCUGCAGCUUGACGUUGUUUUAUUCUAGCUUGAUGUUGUCUUCCGCUAGCUUGACGUUGUGUUAUGCUAGCUUGACGUUGUCUUGCGCUAGCUUGAUGUUGUCUUGCUCUCGCUUGACGUUGUUUUGUUAGCUUGACGUUGUUUUAUGCUAGCUUGAUGUCUUGCGCUCGCUUGACGUUGUUUUAUGCUAUAUUGACGUUGUCUUGCGAUAGCUUGACGUUGUCUUGCGCUAGCUUGACGUUGUCUUGCGCUAGCUUGACGUUGAUUUGCGCCAGCGUGACGUUGAUUUGCGCCAGCGUGACGUUGAUUUGCGCUAGCUUGACCUUGUUUUGCGCUAGCUUGUCGUCGGAUUGCGCUAGCUUGACGUCGAUUUGCGCUAGCUUUACGUUGUUCUCCGCUAGGUUGACGUUAGCCCCUCCAUGGCAGUAAAACCUCCCAGAUGCUUCCAUCUCAGCCUCUGCAGGAGCCUGAUCAUGUCUGACAGGAAUUUACAGUUUCAGGUCAAAACCUAUAAAUAAGCUUAUGAAUAUUUAACAUUUCUCUCUGCUUCAGGCUUCUGAUGUCCAGACUUUAACUUCCUGCUGAAAUCCCGUCGGUGUUGAUGUAGUGUUGACGCCCGGCUGCUGCCAGUCAUGAACAAGCUCUGCUCCGGCAGUUCUGCCGAAACGGGUUUUUUAUGAAGUCGCCUUUAACGAAGCUUUUCUGGAGCAGAAAGUCGCUGAGCGCCUGCUGGGAAUCGAAGCAGAGCGAUUCUUUUCUCCCGCCUGGCGGCAGAAAUCCGUUUCUUCCUGUUUGGUAUUCGGGUCUGGGGUUGAAUCGAUUCAUCUGUUGAGCUGAGCUCACCUCAUCGAGCCGCUGUUGACCUUUGACACUCUGAGCUCACCUGACUCACCUGGUUCAGGUUGUUAAACGCUGUGUGUGUGUGUGUGUGUGUGUGUGUUUGUUCUCACUAGAAGAGAGGAGGAAUCGCUGCACAAAGCAGAUUGAUUUAGUUUUAAAAGUUUCUGGAUCUUUGAUUUCAGAAAACAUUCAGGAAUGAAAAUAAUUUUUAAAAUGUCUGUGGACAUAUUUCAAAUUUUACCCUUUCUAGCUCUUUUUCAGCUCAACCACCU